Molecule: small nuclear RNA, 104 nt
Organism: Panthera leo (lion)
Lineage: Eukaryota; Metazoa; Chordata; Mammalia; Carnivora; Felidae
Source: Ensembl
GUGCUCACUUCAGCAGCACAUAUACUAAAAUUGGAACGAUACAGAGAUUAGCAUGGCCCCUGCGCAAGGAUGACACGCAAAUUUGUGAAGCGUUCCAUAUUUUU